This 128-nucleotide microRNA precursor is filed under the name Fragaria vesca subsp. vesca. RNAcentral's name for it is "Fragaria vesca miR11300 stem-loop (fve-MIR11300)". The record is from miRBase by way of RNAcentral. Lineage: Eukaryota; Viridiplantae; Streptophyta; Magnoliopsida; Rosales; Rosaceae.
GUCAACAUCACUGUUCUCUUCCUCUAACACAACCGCCAGAAUUCUGACAAAAUGAGUUUGGGAAAGGGAUUCGAGCUCCGAAGGUUGUGAAUGUUGUGUUGUAAAGGGAACAGAAUAGUGAUAUUGAU